RNAcentral lists this long non-coding RNA (946 nucleotides) under Malus domestica (apple). Its description in RNAcentral is "long non-coding RNA (MDOM_LNC009073)". Lineage: Eukaryota; Viridiplantae; Streptophyta; Magnoliopsida; Rosales; Rosaceae. The record is from RNAcentral.
UAAAAUUGUAUAGAGGCGAAAUGUUCGAAUCUUUAUUCUUUUGGAAAGAAGAAAGAAUCACAAAAGUUGUUGAGGUUAAUUCACUUAGAUGUUAGUGGCACUUGUCCUCAACAUAAUACUACUCAUGUUAUAUGACAUUCACCGAAGAUCACUCUCGGUUGGACUAUAGUUUAUUUUGAAUAAACACAAGUCCGAAUACUUUGCAAAAAGUUUCAAAGAAUUCAAGAAAUGUAAAUAGAUGAGUAAGAUAUCUAAAGUAUUUACCUCUUUAGAUUUGAUCCAAGGAAAGGUAACACUUUAGAUGAGUUUCCUUGAAUGAUAUCAAGGAAAAUAGCAUCAUAAGAUAAUGUAUUUCUCCAUUAGGAGAAGAACGAACUAAAAUAAGAUUUAGUUCGUUAGAUGUUAUCUAUUACCCAUAUAUAGGAUAUAUACUUCUAAAACAAUAUGAUUGUCAAUUAGAAGAUCUUCCAAAAUUUUCAUAACUCCAUAAGAUGUAGUUGGAAAGAAAGACAAAUCUUAAGCAUGUUAAGAUUUAAGGUUGUGUGCUAAUAAGCAAUAUUUGUUUGAUAACAAUCUUGUGGGAUAUCCUUAAAUUAACUUUUGGAUAUCGCUUCUAUAAUCCAACUAACAAAUGUUGUUUUGUUGGGAAGUUCAUUGUAAUCCUACAAUGUGAUUUGCCUAAGAGCAAAUGAACGAGAUAGAACUCAAAGAAUGGGUUCUUUGAGAGACAAGGAAGUAAUCAACAAAUAUAACAACCUAGUUCCUAUACCUCAAGCUCCAAGGUAGUCAAUAAGGAUUUAUAAACCGUCUCAGUUGAAUGGUUUUGAACUUUAUGACUAUGUCAUAGAGUUGCACCUCUUAAUUCGAAAGAAGUAAGAAUGAAAAUCCUUAUGACUACAUUGAGUGCAUAUACGAUAUAUACUCAAGGAAAUGGUAAAGUACCAUU